UUGAGAAGAGUGGAGGCUAUCCGAAAGACAGGUGGUGCAUGGUUGUCGUCAGCUCGUGUCGUGAGAUGUUGGGUUAAGUCCCGCAACGAGCGCAACCCUUGUCUUUAGUUACCAUCAUUAAGUUGGGGACUCUAGAGAGACUGCCGGUGACAAACCGGAGGAAGGUGGGGAUGACGUCAAAUCAGCAUGCCCCUUAUGGCUUGGGCGACACACGUAAUACAAUGGCGUAUACAAAGGGAAGCAAACCUGCGAAGGAGAGCGAAUCUCAGAAAGUACGUCUCAGUUCGGAUUAGAGUCUGCAACUCGACUCUAUGAAGUCGGAAUCGCUAGUAAUCGUGGAUCAGCAUGCCACGGUGAAUACGUUCCCGGGUCUUGUACACACCGA
RNAcentral lists this ribosomal RNA (385 nucleotides) under uncultured Erysipelotrichaceae bacterium. RNAcentral's name for it is "bacterial SSU rRNA". It matches the Rfam family "Bacterial small subunit ribosomal RNA", at positions 1001 to 1393 of the family's 1533-position model. Lineage: Bacteria; Bacillati; Bacillota; Erysipelotrichia; Erysipelotrichales; Erysipelotrichaceae. The record is from RNAcentral.